AUGCAUGUCUAAGUCCAUGCCGAAACAAGGCUAAACCGCGAAUGGCUCAUUAAAUCAGUUGUGGUUCCUUAGAUCGUACAAUCCUACUUGGAUAACUGUGGCAAUUCUAGAGCUAAUACAUGCUUCCAAGACUUCGUCCUUGCGGAUGGAGGGCUUUUAUUAGAACAGGACCAACGGGUUCCCUUCGCGGACCCAGAAACUCUUGGUGACUCUGAAUAACUUUGGGCUGAUCGCAACGGUCUCGCACCGGCGACUUAUCUUUCAAGUGUCUGCCUUAUCAACUGUCGAUGGUAGGUUAUGCGCCUACCAUGGUUGUAACGGGUAACGGGGAAUCAGGGUUCGAUUCCGGAGAGGGAGCCUGAGAAACGGCUACCACAUCCAAGGAAGGCAGCAGGCGCGCAAAUUACCCACUCCCGGCACGGGGAGGUAGUGACGAAAAAUAACGAUACGGGACUCAUAUGAGGCCCCGUAAUCGGAAUGAGUACACUUUAAAUCCUUUAACGAGGAUCUAAUGGAGGGCAAGUCAGGUGCCAGCAGCCGCGGUAAUUCCUGCUCCAUAAGUAUACUCCAAAUUUGUUGCGGUUAAAAAGCUCGUAGUUGGAUCUUGGCUCGCGACGGUCGGAUCGUCUUCUUGGCGAAUUCCAGACCGAUCCGAGCAGAAAUCGCUGGUACGUCCGUCGGUGCUCUUCAUCGAGUGUCGGCGGAUGGCCGGUACGUUUACUUUGAAAAAAUUAGAGUGCUCAAAGCAGGCGAUGGUGCCGGAAUAAUAGUGCAUGGAAUAAUGGAAUAGGAUCUCGGUUCUAUUUUGUUGGUUCUCGGAACUCGAGAUAAUGAUUAAUAGGAA
RNAcentral lists this ribosomal RNA (844 nucleotides) under Reighardia lomviae. RNAcentral's name for it is "bacterial SSU rRNA". It matches the Rfam family "Eukaryotic small subunit ribosomal RNA", at positions 51 to 878 of the family's 1831-position model. Lineage: Eukaryota; Metazoa; Arthropoda; Ichthyostraca; Reighardiida; Reighardiidae. The record is from RNAcentral.